This 483-nucleotide ribosomal RNA is filed under the name Triticum aestivum (bread wheat). RNAcentral describes it as "partial small subunit ribosomal RNA". The record is from RNAcentral. Lineage: Eukaryota; Viridiplantae; Streptophyta; Magnoliopsida; Poales; Poaceae.
AUGCCCUGGCCACCGCCCGGUGGCUCGCCGCGCCUGCAUUUCGUGCCGCGGAGAGGCCCAUGCCGCCGCCCUAUGGCUCGCCUCUCCAGAUGCGGCCGCGCCAUAGCUCUCCUCCUCGCGCCGACGAGGCUACCGGCCAUCCCCCGUCCAUCUGUCAUGUCCAGAAGAUCCGUCACCUCGCGCCGGUCAUCUCCACGGAAGAACUCGUCCGCGGCUGCACUGCACCAGCCGAAUGAAGCCGUCUUCCUCGCCGGCACCCGACGACCAAAACCUUCGAUUCGUCGUCUACAUGGCCUCCCCGACCUCGAAGCCGACGCCAUACGAUGUGUUGUGAGCUUUCCCAUCUUUUCCCUCUGCUCUAGCCGGCGCGUUGGUUCCAUAGUCAUCGUUCCACGAGCUCCGAGCUCCGGCCGCCGCCAUGGCCGACGAGCUCCAUGCUCCAGAGUUCCUCUGCUCAAACCUGUUGCAUCCGUGCGCUCCUAG